CUACGGGUUGCACCAGUGGGGAAUAUUGCACAAUGGGGGGAACCCUGAUGCAGCAACGCCGCGUGGAGGAUGACACAUUUCGGUGCGUAAACUCCUUUUAUAUAAGAAGAUAAUGACGGUAUUAUAUGAAUAAGCACCGGCUAACUCCGUGCCAGCAGCCGCGGUAAUACGGGGGGUGCAAGCGUUACUCGGAAUCACUGGGCGUAAAGAGCAUGUAGGCUGGUUAGUAAGUUGGAAGUGAAAUCCUAUGGCUUAACCAUAGAACUGCUUCCAAAACUACUAACCUAGAAUAUGGGAGAGGUAGAUGGAAUUUCUGGUGUAGGGGUAAAAUCCGUAGAGAUCAGAAGGAAUACCGAUUGCGAAGGCGAUCUACUGGAACAUUAUUGACGCUCAGAUGCGAAAGCGUGGGGAGCAAACAGGAUUAGAUACCCUAGUAGUC
Molecule: ribosomal RNA, 439 nt
Filed under: uncultured bacterium
Lineage: Bacteria
Description: partial 16S ribosomal RNA
Rfam family: Bacterial small subunit ribosomal RNA
Source: RNAcentral